UUGACCUUUUUUGCUUGUCCUAAACUUAUACUAAUUAUUGCAAAUAAGAUUAUUAUUUUCUUUAAAAGUCUAUACAUGAAAUACUACUUUGGAUUCACCAUUUUAAUUUAGUCCUGGGAUUACACUUGAGACUUCUGAAGGAGAACCAACAAGUGGGUUUGGGUUUCCCUAUCAUCUGAAUUGAGGGAGUCGCUUGAAACUGAAACUACAGGUGUUGGGGAUCCUUCCACAGGCUUAAUUAGCAGUGGCCUUGUUGGAUCUGUUUCUUGAAGCUUUGCAGGAAUCUACUCCAUAACAGUUUCUAAGAAUGUGUAAUUUGACAUUCUAGAAUGUGCACUUUUCUGCCUGUUAUUCAUAUUUACAAUCAUCAGCAAGAGUACCCACUCCACACAGGAACAAGGGAAGCCAGUUUACUCCAAGAACAUCACCUACACAUUUUGUUGCUAAUCAACAUACUAUCUAGUGGAUUUGCCAGAAGUGGGCAGUUGUGCAGGCUUUCAAACCUGAAGUCAAACAAGAAUAGAGGAGCAUCUGAGUUCUCUUCCCCUGCAGCAAGGUUGGCCCCACUGUGGACCUGGGGAAUGGACUACUGCUGUUAUCUAUCCUAUGAACAGGAUAGAUCUAAUGAAGAAACACACAGAGUCUAUGAAAUUUAGGCUUGAACUUUUUAGUUUGAAACUUUUGUUGCCCAGCGGUAAUGAUGAUGAAAAUAAUUGAUACCUUGUAAAUUAUGUUUUCAUUAUUUUAAGUAUUUGCAUAAGAAUUUACCAUUCUCCAAAUCAGGUUACGAGUUCAAUACAUUAUGUCAGCCCUUGCAUCAUUCUCCCCCAUUAAUCCAAGGAAAUUUGAUACUUGAAUUGCCCACUCUGUCAGAAUGACUGAAGGAGCACUAUGUGAGGGGUCGAAUUUCUGGGAGCAAUGAAAUAUAUUAAAGAGUGAUACCACUUUU
This is a long non-coding RNA of Dipodomys spectabilis (banner-tailed kangaroo rat), 949 nucleotides long. RefSeq lists it as uncharacterized. The record is from RefSeq and is a predicted model, not a curated record. The transcript is spliced from 2 exons. Lineage: Eukaryota; Metazoa; Chordata; Mammalia; Rodentia; Heteromyidae.